UACGGAGGGUGCAAGCGUUGUCCGGAAUCACUGGGCGUACAGGGCGCGUAGGCGGCUCGGUAAGUAGGGGGUGAAAUCCUGCGGCUCAACCGCAGGGCUGCCUUCUAAACUGUCGAGCUCGAGCACGGUAGAGGCAGAUGGAAUUCCCGGUGUAGCGGUGGAAUGCGUAGAGAUCGGGAAGAACAUCAGUGGCGAAGGCGGUCUGCUGGGCCGUUGCUGACGCUGAGGCGCGACAGCGUGGGGAGCAAACAGG
RNAcentral lists this ribosomal RNA (253 nucleotides) under uncultured bacterium. RNAcentral's name for it is "partial 16S ribosomal RNA". It matches the Rfam family "Bacterial small subunit ribosomal RNA", at positions 524 to 776 of the family's 1533-position model. The record is from RNAcentral.